CCUACGGGAGGCUGCAGUGGGGAAUUUUGGACAAUGGGGGAAACCCUGAUCCAGCCAUGCCGCGUGAGUGAAGAAGGCCUUCGGGUUGUAAAGCUCUUUCAGCAGGAACGAAACGGUAAGCUUUAAUAAAGUUUGCUAAUGACGGUACCUGAAGAAGAAGCACCGGCUAACUACGUGCCAGCAGCCGCGGUAAUACGUAGGGUGCGAGCGUUAAUCGGAAUUACUGGGCGUAAAGCGUGCGCAGGCGGUUUUGUAAGACAGAUGUGAAAUCCCCGGGCUUAACCUGGGAACUGCGUUUGUGACUGCAAGACUAGAGUGUGGCAGAGGGGGGUAGAAUUCCACGUGUAGCAGUGAAAUGCGUAGAGAUGUGGAGGAAUACCGAUGGCGAAGGCAGCCCCCUGGGUCAACACUGACGCUCAUGCACGAAAGCGUGGGGAGCAAACAGGAUUAGAUACCCCAGUAGUC
This 465-nucleotide ribosomal RNA is filed under the name uncultured beta proteobacterium. RNAcentral describes it as "bacterial SSU rRNA". It matches the Rfam family "Bacterial small subunit ribosomal RNA", at positions 338 to 795 of the family's 1533-position model. Lineage: Bacteria; Pseudomonadati; Pseudomonadota; Betaproteobacteria. The record is from RNAcentral.